CCUACGGGUGGCAGCAGUGGGGAAUAUUGCACAAUGGGCGCAAGCCUGAUGCAGCCAUACCGCGUGUGUGAAGAAGGCCUUCGGGUUGUAAAGCACUUUCAGCGGGGAGGAAGGCGUUAAGGUUAAUAACCUUGGCGAUUGACGUUACCCGCAGAAGAAGCACCGGCUAACUCCGUGCCAGCAGCCGCGGUAAUACGGAGGGUGCAAGCGUUAAUCGGAAUUACUGGGCGUAAAGCGCACGCAGGCGGUCUGUCAAGUCGGAUGUGAAAUCCCCGGGCUCAACCUGGGAACUACAUUCGAAACUGGCAGGCUAGAGUCUUGUAGAGGGGGGUAGAAUUCCAGGUGUAGCGGUGAAAUGCGUAGAGAUCUGGAGGAAUACCGGUGGCGAAGGCGGCCCCCUGGACAAAGACUGACGCUCAGGUGCGAAAGCGUGGGGAGCAAACAGGAUUAGAUACCCUAGUAGUC
Molecule: ribosomal RNA, 465 nt
Filed under: uncultured Klebsiella sp.
Lineage: Bacteria; Pseudomonadati; Pseudomonadota; Gammaproteobacteria; Enterobacterales; Enterobacteriaceae
Description: bacterial SSU rRNA
Rfam family: Bacterial small subunit ribosomal RNA
Source: RNAcentral